Molecule: ribosomal RNA, 407 nt
Filed under: uncultured Streptomyces sp.
Lineage: Bacteria; Bacillati; Actinomycetota; Actinomycetes; Kitasatosporales; Streptomycetaceae
Description: bacterial SSU rRNA
Rfam family: Bacterial small subunit ribosomal RNA
Source: RNAcentral
AGUGGGGAAUAUUGCACAAUGGGCGAAAGCCUGAUGCAGCGACGCCGCGUGAGGGAUGACGGCCUUCGGGUUGUAAACCUCUUUCAGCAGGGAAGAAGCGAAAGUGACGGUACCUGCAGAAGAAGCGCCGGCUAACUACGUGCCAGCAGCCGCGGUAAUACGUAGGGCGCAAGCGUUGUCCGGAAUUAUUGGGCGUAAAGAGCUCGUAGGCGGCUUGUCACGUCGGAUGUGAAAGCCCGAGGCUUAACCUCGGGUCUGCAUUCGAUACGGGCUAGCUAGAGUGUGGUAGGGGAGAUCGGAAUUCCUGGUGUAGCGGUGAAAUGCGCAGAUAUCAGGAGGAACACCGGUGGCGAAGGCGGAUCUCUGGGCCAUUACUGACGCUGAGGAGCGAAAGCGUGGGGAGCGAA